GGCUGAUACCGCCCAAGAGUUCAUAUCGACGGCGGUGUUUGGCACCUCGAUGUCGGCUCAUCACAUCCUGGGGCUGAAGUCGGUCCCAAGGGUAUGGCUGUUCGCCAUUUAAAGAGGUACGUGAGCUGGGUUUAGAACGUCGUGAGACAGUUCGGUCCCUAUCUGCCGUGGGUGUACGAGACUUGAGAGGCGCUGUCCCUAGUACGAGAGGACCGGGAUGGACGCACCUCUGGUGGACCGGUUGUCGCGCCAGCGGCACAGCCGGGUAGCUAUGUGCGGACGGGAUAACCGCUGAAGGC
RNAcentral lists this ribosomal RNA (299 nucleotides) under Triparma pacifica. RNAcentral describes it as "partial Bacterial large subunit ribosomal RNA". It matches the Rfam family "Bacterial large subunit ribosomal RNA", at positions 2480 to 2778 of the family's 2925-position model. The record is from RNAcentral. Lineage: Eukaryota; Bolidophyceae; Parmales; Triparmaceae.